CCUACGGGGGGCAGCAGUGGGGAAUUUUGGACAAUGGGCGCAAGCCUGAUCCAGCCAUGCCGCGUGUCUGAAGAAGGCCCUCGGGUUGUAAAGGACUUUAGUCUGGGAGCGAGUACCAGAAGAAUAAGCACCGGCUAACUACGUGCCAGCAGCCGCGGUAAUACGUAGGGUGCAAGCGUUAAUCGGAAUAACUGGGCGUAAAGGGUGAGUAGGCGGUAACGUAAGUCUGAAGUGAAAUCCCCGGGCUUAACCUGGGAACGGCCUUAGAUACUGCGUGACUAGAGUGCGUGAGAGGGGGGUAGAAUUCCGCGUGUAGCAGUGAAAUGCGUAGAGAUGCGGAGGAAUACCGAUGGCGAAGGCAGCCCCCUGGGAGAACUGACGCUGAAUCACGAAAGCGUGGGUAGCAAACAGGAUUAGAUACCCUUGUAGUC
Molecule: ribosomal RNA, 431 nt
Filed under: uncultured bacterium
Lineage: Bacteria
Description: partial 16S ribosomal RNA
Rfam family: Bacterial small subunit ribosomal RNA
Source: RNAcentral